CCCUCGGGAGCCCAGCCAGGACCGCUGGGCGGGUGAGGGCAACGGCGCCCCUGGCGGUUUCGGUACAGCCCUGCGGCCAGAGAGGCGGCCCGGUGGGUUUGGGUUCGCAGUGGAAGCUGCAGGGCUUCCUGCCCCCAGGGGUGUUCAGUCUAGCCUACCUUUGGCUGCGCCGCCAACCCCAGGCCUGGCGUCGGACAGUGGCUCCAAGUGCUGUGCGAGGGGCAGGGUCCUUAGCUCUUCAGGGCACCAGGAAGAUGGGGAGUCAUGGCCUCAGGAGUCCUGAGCUACCGCGCCAGCUGUGGGACAGGGGCCACCCUGCCAGCCUCGUUCUGUCUGUCAUGGGGACCAGUGGGGUGCAGUGGGAAGGGCAGAGUAGUCUGAGUUUUGCUGUAGUUUCAGCUCCGUGCUGGCUGUGUGCUCUGAACAAGUGUCUGGUGGUGCGCUCCGCACUGACAUCCCGUGCUGGAGAAGCGGGACAGGCGCGCCGACAGUACCAUUGGCCCCUGAGGCUCACGGCUGCCAAGUGCAGCCCUACACACCCUCUCCAAGUAGUCUUGCCGUUUGGGAGGCUCAUAUUGGGUUUGCCCACGACAGGUGUCUCCCUAAGACUUCAGAGGGUGCUGAUAUACUCCCCAAGACUACUCCAAACCUGAGGGCCAAGGGUCCAGAUUCUGUCCUGGCUCAGCUUGGUGUUGGUCGAGCUGCCUCGCUGAGGCUAGACGGUGGAACGUUUUUCUGCUUCUCUGAGGGGAGAGGUCUUAAUCUACCCCAGCACGUCUCCCUACUGAGGGGCUCCUUUGCUCUCUCCAGCUCCAGCCACAUGCAUGAAAGCAGGUCCUCAUCUGGAAGCAGCGUGCUGCCACAGCCCCAAGCCCACUGCUCCUGGGAAUGGGAUGCCAGCAGGCUGCCCGCCCUCGCCUGCCUGGAGCGCUGAGUCACCACUGAAUGUUGGGGCCGAGCAGCCCUGGGAGGCCUGUUCACUUGUCAUACUGUGGCAUGGCAGUCAGGGCCAGCUGGGGACUAGGAAGGCCCAGGAUGAUGGACCCACCCCCACCCCCCAGCACCACACACUUCUUGUCAUAGAUUUUAUUCAUUUAUUCAUGAGAGACACAGAGAGAGGGGCAGAGACACAGGCAGAGGGAGAAGCAGGCUCCAUUCCAGGACUCCGGGAUCACAACCUGAGCCGAAGGCAGAUGCUCAACCACUGAGCCACCCAGGUGCCCAAUGACAGGAGUUUUUGGUGAUACAAAAAGAUAUCGGUGUUCUGUUUACUGAAUUAAAACUUAAGAUAAAAAUUAUAAACUUGAAAAAAAUUCCAUCCUCCUUUGUUCUCCUGCUCAGGAUACUCCAGGCAAUAAGGUCAACCCUAGGGGGUUGCCCAUUUUCUCCCCAUUUGACAGAGGCUCCUCCUCUGGCUCCUGCUUCGUCCUGGCUUUUCUCUGGCUUUCCCUGAAUACCGCUCCCCGAAGUCCUUAUCGUCUUAGCCCAUUACUCCUCAUACCAAGCAGUCCUCCUCUCCCCUCACCCUGGAUGGAUGUGUGUCUAUCUCUCCCACUAGCAGGGACCCCGUCCGGUGGGUGUGCCUGACCCAUCCACGGGACCCCUGGCCCCUGGGAUGCACUUGCCUUUGUGCACAAUUGCCAGGCUGAUCUGCCCUGGGAGACCCAGUGGGUGCUCUGGAGCAACUCCUGAGUUGAGCCUCUCCAGCACCCAAAGGGGAUUCACCUGGGGCAGAGAUUCUCCAGAGCCUGUUUAGGCCUUGGUUCAUGCUGGGGACUCACUCAGAGGCACCUGAAAGCUGCACAGAGAUUGAGGGGACUUGGAGGCCAGCAUUUGUGGCU
Long non-coding RNA from Canis lupus familiaris (dog), 1841 nucleotides. RefSeq lists it as uncharacterized. Lineage: Eukaryota; Metazoa; Chordata; Mammalia; Carnivora; Canidae. The record is from RefSeq and is a predicted model, not a curated record. The transcript has 3 exons.